RNAcentral lists this ribosomal RNA (468 nucleotides) under uncultured bacterium. Its description in RNAcentral is "partial 16S ribosomal RNA". It matches the Rfam family "Bacterial small subunit ribosomal RNA", at positions 28 to 507 of the family's 1533-position model. The record is from RNAcentral.
GACGAACGCUGGCGGCGUGCUUAACACAUGCAAGUCGAACGGAAAGGCCCUGCUUUUGUGGGGUGCUCGAGUGGCGAACGGGUGAGUAACACGUGAGUAACCUUCCCUUGACUUUGGGAUAACUUCAGGAAACUGGGGCUAAUACCGGAUAGGAGCUCCUGCUGCAUGGUGGGGGUUGGAAAGUUUCGGCGGUUGGGGAUGGACUCGCGGCUUAUCAGCUUGUUGGUGGGGUAGUGGCUUACCAAGGCUUUGACGGGUAGGCGGCCUGGGAGGGUGAACAGCCGCAAUGGGACUGAGAGAGGCAGCAGACUGGUACGGGGGGCAGUAGCGGAGAGUAUUGCACAAUGGGCGGAAGCGUGAUGCAGCAACGCCGGGUGCGGGAUGCCGGCCUUCGGGUUAUAAACCGCUUUCGCAUGUGACGAAGCGUGAGUGACGGUAAUAGGUAAAGAAGCACCGGCUAACUACGUG